RNAcentral lists this ribosomal RNA (305 nucleotides) under uncultured bacterium. RNAcentral's name for it is "bacterial SSU rRNA". It matches the Rfam family "Bacterial small subunit ribosomal RNA", at positions 337 to 658 of the family's 1533-position model. The record is from RNAcentral.
GCCUACGGGGGGCAGCAGUGGGGAAUAUUGCACAAUGGGGGAAACCCUGAUGCAGCAACGCCGCGUGAGUGAGGAAGUAUUUCGGUAUGUAAAGCUCUAUCAGCAGGGAAUAGAAAAGAAGGUACCUGAAAAAGAAGCCCCGGCUAACUACGUGCUAGCAGCCGCGGUAAUACGUAGGGGGCAAGCGUUAUCCGGAUUUACUGGGUGUAAAGGGAGCGUAGACGGCAGGGCAAGUCUGGAGUGAAAGGCAGGGGCCCAACCCCUGGACUGCUCUGGAAACUGUCCGGCUGGAGGGCAGGAGAGGG